AUUGAACGCUGGCGGCAGGCCUAACACAUGCAAGUCGAACGAGUGGCGGACGGGUGAGUAAUGCCUGGGAAACUGCCUGAUGGAGGGGGAUAACUACUGGAAACGGUAGCUAAUACCGCAUACCAUCAGAUGUGCCCAGAUGGGAUUAGCUAGUUGGUGGGGUAACGGCUCACCAAGGCGACGAUCCCUAGCUGGUCUGAGAGGAUGACCAUCCACACUGGAACUGAGACACUGUCCAGACUCCUACGGGAGGCAGCAGUGGUGAAGAUUGCACAAUGGGCGCAAGCCUGAUGCAGCCAGGCCGCGUGUAUGAAGAAGGCCUUCGGGUUGUAAAGUAAGUUCAGUGGGGAGGCGUUACCCGCAGAAGGAGCACCGGCUAACUCAGUGCCAGCAGCCGCGGUAAUAC
Molecule: ribosomal RNA, 406 nt
Filed under: uncultured bacterium
Lineage: Bacteria
Description: partial 16S ribosomal RNA
Rfam family: Bacterial small subunit ribosomal RNA
Source: RNAcentral